RNAcentral lists this ribosomal RNA (466 nucleotides) under Vreelandella stevensii. RNAcentral describes it as "partial 16S ribosomal RNA". It matches the Rfam family "Bacterial small subunit ribosomal RNA", at positions 338 to 795 of the family's 1533-position model. The record is from RNAcentral. Lineage: Bacteria; Pseudomonadati; Pseudomonadota; Gammaproteobacteria; Oceanospirillales; Halomonadaceae.
CCUACGGGCGGCAGCAGUGGGGAAUAUUGGACAAUGGGCGAAAGCCUGAUCCAGCCAUGCCGCGUGUGUGAAGAAGGCCUUCGGGUUGUAAAGCACUUUCAGUGGGGAAGAAAGCCUUGGGGCUAAUACCCUCGAGGAAGGACAUCACCCACAGAAGAAGCACCGGCUAACUCCGUGCCAGCAGCCGCGGUAAUACAGGAGGGUGCGAGCGUUAAUCGGAAUUACUGGGCGUAAAGCGCGCGUAGGCGGUCUGAUAAGCCGGUUGUGAAAGCCCCGGGCUCAACCUGGGAACGGCAUCCGGAACUGUCAGGCUAGAGUGCAGGAGAGGAAGGUAGAAUUCCCGGUGUAGCGGUGAAAUGCGUAGAGAUCGGGAGGAAUACCAGUGGCGAAGGCGGCCUUCUGGACUGACACUGACGCUGAGGUGCGAAAGCGUGGGUAGCAAACAGGAUUAGAUACCCGUGUAGUC